CCAUCGUCUUAAUCAAAUAUUUUUCGUUAUUAAGAAAAUAUAGAUAGAUAAAGUGCCGAUGACAGAGAUAACCAGUAGAUACAUUUUAUUUGACAGUGGCUUUCGAUUAAAAUAAUUAUCACAUACUAAAUCGAAAAAUGAAAUAAAUUGAGAAACAAAUAACUUUACUGCAGCUUACUUAACAUCUCAAUAAAAAAAUGAUAUCUAGAGGAUUUAACACAGUAAGAGGAACUUUGAUUGUACUACUUUGUACAGGUAUGUUUGAGGAAAGUACUCAAAAUGUACAUCUAUGUAAUUAUAUUAUACAAUCAUACUUUCUUUAAAAAGGAGGGAAACGGGAACUUUUAUCAGUAGUAGAUUUAUGAUUGAUUUCGAAACGAUUUUUGUAUGAUAAUAGAUAACUGAACUAUUCUUAUUUUGUUUUGUAUGUAAUCGAUUACAAAGUAAUUAACGAUUUUUAUUAAUUCGAACGUCACCGAUGGGUCUAUUUGUAGAAAAUCGCGAGUUUAAAUGCUUUGAAAAGAAAUACUAAUAUUGUUAUCACUUACAAUUACAUUCUACAUAUAUGACAUAGUAAAGAAAAAAAUUAAGCACACUUAUGCUGCUUAAUGCUCGGUAAUUUUAAAGAUAAAAGAAUCAUAUAAUUAUACACAUAAAAACAACAAGCGUUUUGAUUUUGAUUGCUAAAAUAGCAAAAUAAGCAACACUCAAUCAAUUAUUUAUUGAAUGUUUUCUAAUGUGUUUUGUGAUAUUAUUAUUGUCAAAGAAAGCUGAUUGAUAUAGUAACUUACUGGGUUUAUCCCUCUUCAAAGUGCAUUUUUAAGUCGGGAGCCUCGUUCGAUUUUAUUGUUUAAAGUAUCAUUACGUUUUUGUUGCUUUGAGAAUUGUUGUUUGUGGUAGAUCUUUGAAAUGUUAUGAAACAGAUUUUUGACGUAUAUUUAGGGCUUUUUAUAUUUUAAGAUACAUGUCUAUUUGUUGGUAUCUGUCUAAUUAACGUUUACACAACAUUUCUUUUUUUCAAUAACAGAUAUACAAAUACACAGAUAACAGAAAUACCAGUGUAUACUAUUCAAUAUAAAAAGUCAGUUGUAUUAAUGCAUGUUCCUGUGUUAAUAUAAAUUUUGCAGCUUUUUGUAGUUUUUAAAAAAGUGGCCCAUUGACCCACAUUUUUCUUUUUAUCAAUUUUUAAUGUGUAUAAUUUUAAGCCAUCUGUAAACAUUUUAUAAAAUCUUUGUUUAAUAUUUUUUAACAUUUUUUUAGAACAUUUACUUGACAAUGAUAAAGCUAUGAAAUAUAAAGAGAGAACAUUUUCCCCGCAAAAAUUUCUCAAUGGCUUAUAUCUCGAAAACAAGCACAUUAACAUAUAUAUAUGUUUUUGGCUUUUUUGAUUCCUUUAUUAAACCCCUAACAAUAUAUACUAGAGUUAUGAAAAGCUUGUUUUUUUUUAACUGAGUAUCGAACGUCCUUAAAAUAAGAAAUAUUCAAUAUAUUUUCUAGGUUUAUUGAAACCAUCGGCAUCUUACAGUGUUGGCGACGCAAAUAACAUUCACAAGUUAUUAUUUAAUCAGACUGACGAGGUUCAAAACUGGACUACCUGAAACCAGUAAUGUCAGUGCAGAGUACAACUUGCUAGCUCUCAAUUCUUUGGUAAGUAUUUUCUCAGUUUGUGUUUUUUUUUUUCGGACAUUUUCUAAAGUAUCCUUGAAAUGCAAAAUAUUAAACAAAGACAAUUGAUAUAAUGACAAAUAUGUAUCGAUAUGACCAUGAUACC
Molecule: long non-coding RNA, 1771 nt
Filed under: Mytilus galloprovincialis (Mediterranean mussel)
Lineage: Eukaryota; Metazoa; Mollusca; Bivalvia; Mytilida; Mytilidae
Source: RNAcentral